AGUCGAACGGCAGCACGGACUUCGGUCUGGUGGCGAGUGGCGAACGGGUGAGUAAUACAUCGGAACGUGUCCUGGAGUGGGGGAUAGCCCGGCGAAAGCCGGAUUAAUACCGCAUACGCUCUGUGGAGGAAAGCGGGGGAUCUUUCGGGACCUCGCGCUCAAGGGGCGGCCGAUGGCAGAUUAGCUAGUUGGUGGGGUAAAGGCCUACCAAGGCGACGAUCUGUAGCUGGUCUGAGAGGACGACCAGCCACACUGGGACUGAGACACGGCCCAGACUCCUACGGGAGGCAGCAGUGGGGAAUUUUGGACAAUGGGCGCAAGCCUGAUCCAGCAAUGCCGCGUGUGUGAAGAAGGCCUUCGGGUUGUAAAGCACUUUUGUCCGGAAAGAAAACCUUUGGGCUAAUACCCUGGGGGGAUGACGGUACCGGAAGAAUAAGCACCGGCUAACUACGUGCCAGCAGCCGCGGUAAUACGUAGGGUGCAAGCGUUAAUCGGAAUUACUGGGCGUAAAGCGUGCGCAGGCGGUUCGCUAAGACAGAUGUGAAAUCCCCGGGCUUAACCUG
RNAcentral lists this ribosomal RNA (563 nucleotides) under uncultured Burkholderia sp. RNAcentral's name for it is "bacterial SSU rRNA". It matches the Rfam family "Bacterial small subunit ribosomal RNA", at positions 60 to 616 of the family's 1533-position model. Lineage: Bacteria; Pseudomonadati; Pseudomonadota; Betaproteobacteria; Burkholderiales; Burkholderiaceae. The record is from RNAcentral.